Molecule: ribosomal RNA, 1333 nt
Filed under: Ecnomus latus
Lineage: Eukaryota; Metazoa; Arthropoda; Insecta; Trichoptera; Ecnomidae
Description: 16S ribosomal RNA
Source: RNAcentral
AAUUUAUUUAUAUUAUUAAAUAAUUAAAUUUAAAUUAAUAAUUAAUUAUUAAUUAAAAGAUUAUAAAUAAUAAUUUAUUUAGUUUUAGUAUAAUUAAAUUUAGAAUAAAUAUUAUUAAAAUAUAUUGAUAUUGAAUUAGUAAUUAAAAUAAAAUUUUAUGUUUUUAAAUUAAGAAAAUUAAAAUUAAUUUUUUGUAUCUUGUGUAUUAGAGUUAAUUAAUUUUAUAAUAUUGAUAAAAAUAUUUUUUUCGAAAAAAAAAAAAUUAUUUAUUUAUGAGAGUUAUUGUAUUAAAAAUAUUUUAAAUAAAUAAAUGGAAAUGAAAUGUUAAUCGUUUUUUUUUAUAUCUAAUUAAUAAAGAUUUUAAUUUAAUUAAUAAUAAAUUUAAUUAUUUUUAAAAAAAAUAAAUAUUUAGUUAAAAGUUUAAUUAAAUAUUUUUGGGGAUAAGCUUAAAAAUAAACUAAAUUUUUUAUAAUUAAGAUAAGUAAUUAAUUAGAAUUUAUAUUUUUUGUUUAAUAUAAAUAUUAAUAAUUUAAUUAAAUAAUUUAUUUUUUAUUAUUUUUAAUAAAUUAGAAAUAUAUUUAUUAUAAUUUAUUAAUUUAAAUUAAUUUAUUUUAAUGAUUAAAUUAGUAAUUAUUAAUUAUUUAUUAUAAUAAUAAUAUGAAAUUUAUGUUAUAUGAAUUAGACAAAAUUAAUUUAUUAUUCAAUUGUUUAACAAAAACAUUUUUUCUUGGAUUAAUUUGAAAUAAAAUCUGCCCACUGAAAUUAUUAUUUUAAAGGGCUGCAGUAAUUUAACUGUACUAAGGUAGCAUAAUAAAUUGUUUUUUAAUUGAGAACUGGAAUGAAUGAUUAAAUGAAAUAAUAAUUUUAUUUUUUAUAAUGGAAUAAAUUUAAAUUUUGAGUGAAAAUGCUUAAUUAUAGUAAUGGGACGAGAAGACCCUAUAGAUUUUAAUAUUAUUAUAAAUAAUAAAUAUUUAUAAUAAUAUUUUAUUGGGGUGAUAAUAAAAUUUAAAAAACUUUUAUAAUUUAAUACAUUAAUUUAUGAUUAGAAAGAAUUUAUUUUAUAAUAAAUUAGAUUAAAUUACCUUAGGGAUAACAGCAUAAUUUUAGUUUAAAGUUGUUAUUAAAACUAAAGAUUAUGACCUCGAUGUUGGAUUAAGAUAAAUAUUUAAUGGAUCAAUUAUUAUAUUUAGUCUGUUCGACUAUUUAAAUCUUACAUGAUCUGAGUUCAAACCGGUUUAAGCCAGGUUGGUUUCUAUCUAUUAUAAAAUUAUAUAUUUUAGUACGAAAGGAAUUUUUUUAUUAAUUAUUUAAAAUUAUUAAUUAUUUAUUUAAG